RNAcentral lists this ribosomal RNA (429 nucleotides) under Gemmatimonadota bacterium. Its description in RNAcentral is "Gemmatimonadetes bacterium partial 16S ribosomal RNA". It matches the Rfam family "Bacterial small subunit ribosomal RNA", at positions 355 to 776 of the family's 1533-position model. Lineage: Bacteria; Pseudomonadati; Gemmatimonadota. The record is from RNAcentral.
UAGGGAAUCUUCGGCAAUGGACGAAAGUCUGACUGAGCAACGCCCCGUGAGUGAAGAAGGUUUUCGGAUCGUAAAACUCUGUUGUUAGAGAAGAACAAGGACGUUAGUAACUGAACGUCCCCUGACGGUAUCUAACCAGAAAGCCACGGCUAACUACGUGCCAGCAGCCGCGGUAAUACGUAGGUGGCAAGCGUUGUCCGGAUUUAUUGGGCGUAAAGCGAGCGCAGGCGGUUUCUUAAGUCUGAUGUGAAAGCCCCCGGCUCAACCGGGGAGGGUCAUUGGAAGCUGGGAGACUUGAGUGCAGAAGGUGAGAGUGGAAUUCCAUGUGUAGCGGUGAAAUGCGUAGAUAUAUGGAGGAACACCAGUGGCGGAGGCGGCUCUCUGAUCUAUAACUGACGCUGAGGCUCGAAAGCGUGGGGAGCAAACAGG